Long non-coding RNA from Notolabrus celidotus (New Zealand spotty), 608 nucleotides. RefSeq lists it as uncharacterized. The transcript is spliced from 3 exons. The record is from RefSeq and is a predicted model, not a curated record. NCBI's taxonomy places the organism in Eukaryota, Metazoa, Chordata, Actinopteri, Labriformes, Labridae.
CUCUACCCAAUGCCGGAUGCUUCGAACUGGAAGUUUCUUCUUCGUGUAGCGUAUUGAUUGCAUUAGUCUGUCGCUGCUAAAUCAAUUAGCAGAAAGCUAGCGAUAAAACAGCCUUCUCGAGACACGACACUCCAAUAAUUAAAAUGCAUCCGUCGAUUAUUGAAGGAGACCAGGGGUUGGAGUACACAAGUGUGUCACCAUCCCACUUUGGCUGUCCCCUCUGCCCCAGCUUCACCACACGGAGUGCAGGAGUCAUCAAGAGGCACCUGGAAGCUCAUGUGACAAAUGCAGUGCAUUUCAUGGAAAUGAUGAUCUGCAGAUGCAAUCUCCACUGCUCCAGAUGAGCCAGAUGUGGGUCAGUCAGCGCCGGCUACUGCUUCAGAGGAGCCCAUUGCUUCAGAGCCCAUUGCUUCAGAGGAGCCCAUUGCCCCAACCCACAUUAAGUGCCCGUACUGCCCAGUUGUCCUCUUUAAGAGGAAUUUGGUUAUACAUGUUCAACGAAAACAUGAUAAAGAAAAAGACAUCACGGAACUCAAGCUGUACACAGAGAUCUAUAUUCACCACAAAAACAACAGAGGCUCCCCAGAAAUGUGUACUGUACAUCUAUC